AGAGCGAACGCUGGCGGCAGGCCUAACACAUGCAAGUCGAGCGCGUGUAGCAAUACACGAGCGGCAGACGGGAGAGUAACACGUGGGAACGCGCCCUUUGGUUCGGAAUAACUCAGGGAAACUUGAGCUAAUACCGGAUAAGCCCUUACGGGGAAAGAUUUAUCGCCAAAGGAACGGCCCGCGUCCGAUUAGCUAGUUGGUGAGGUAACGGCUCACCAAGGCGACGAUCGGUAGCUGGUCUGAGAGGAUGGACCAGCCUCACUGGGACUGAGACACGGCCCAGACUCCUACGGGAGGCAGCAGUGGGGAAUAUUGGACAAUGGGCGCAAGGCCUGAUCCAGCCAUGCCGCGUGGAUGAUGAAGGCCUUAGGGUUGUAAAGUCCUUUUAACGGGAAGAUAAGUGACGGUACCCGUAGAAUAAGCCCGGCUAACUUCGUGCCAGCAGCCGC
This 449-nucleotide ribosomal RNA is filed under the name uncultured bacterium. Its description in RNAcentral is "SSU rRNA". It matches the Rfam family "Bacterial small subunit ribosomal RNA", at positions 26 to 518 of the family's 1533-position model. The record is from RNAcentral.